This 1252-nucleotide long non-coding RNA is filed under the name Mustela putorius furo (domestic ferret). RNAcentral's name for it is "lncRNA (ENSMPUG00000024813.1)". The record is from RNAcentral. Lineage: Eukaryota; Metazoa; Chordata; Mammalia; Carnivora; Mustelidae.
CACCCAUCUCACUCGAUUGUAUUCCACAGGGCUGAACUCUGCAGUCAAGACUGGUCAUCAGCGAGAAGAUGAAAAUAUGCCUUAUGGUAAGGAUACUGCCAGUCUCAAGAGUGAGGGAAAGGAAGAGGCGGAGUCUUCGGGCCAGAGCUUGUACUGCAUCUGAGAAAUGAGAAAUGAGUUGGCAACUGGGGAACGAGGUCUCUUCCAUCAAGAACGCCAAUUGCCAAAGUAAAAUAAGGAAACUGAUUUUGUUUGUUGAAGGCAGAGGAGACAAGACAAUUCUGAUUUGGGGGCUUCUCCCUGUCCAGCGUUUAGCCACUGUUAGCAAGAACUGGAACCUGACUUCCACAGGUAGUCUUUUAAAUAUUUUAAAUGGUCAUCAACCACAGCAAGUGAAGGAUUCCAGCUGAACUCAGGGUUGAACAAUGUGGCUCAAGAAGCACCUUUUCUGGAAUUAUGGAAAGCCACAAACAAACCCAGAAGUAGAAGAGAAAUAUUUGAGAAGGUCUAACUCUAUAAAUACUUCUUCUCAGGCUGGCGAAUGCUUCUGACAACAUAUAUUCAAUUGCAUUUCUAAGACUGGAACUCAAACUACAUAAGUUAAGUCUCAAGAGCCCUUUCAUAUAGUCGGACUAUUAUGGAGUUUUGAAAUUUUUGAUUCAUCUUGGAGUAUUCUAUUGAGUAUUUUUUUUCCAAGAGAAGUACACGUGUAGACUUUUGGGGCAUUUUAGUAUUGGAGAAUGUCUUUGUGGAUGUUCCUCAGUCAUAAUCCUGUCCUUAUAAACUCCAUAGCCAUUUCUCUAAUGUGUUUUGCCAAUUGGGGUUGCUAGGGAGACAUCUUAAUUCAGCAUUUUUGGGGGUGUAUUUGUAAACAAUUGGUAAUUACUACUUCAUCUGUUGUCCAUAUUUUUUCCUCCUUAUUUUUCAAUCUCGGUCCAUUAAACUCACAUUUUGAUUCUGAUAUUGAAAAUAAAGGACUGGCUUGCCUUUCAAUCCCUAAGCAUUCAUUAAGGAUUUGUAGACAAAAAGAUUAUAUGUGCAAUAAGAUACUAUGUUAUGCAUAUAUCUAUAUAAGACAUAUCGGUUCUCAUGUCCAGAUAGAAUAGUCUCACCACCAACAGUGUGGGAGGGUUCCCCUUUCUCCACAUCCUCACCAGCAUCUGUCAUUUCCUGACUUGUUGAUUUUAGCCAUUCUGACUGGUGUGAGGUGAUAUCUCAUUGUGGUUUUGAUUNNNNNNNNNNNNNNNNNNNN